This 255-nucleotide ribosomal RNA is filed under the name uncultured bacterium. RNAcentral describes it as "partial 16S ribosomal RNA". It matches the Rfam family "Bacterial small subunit ribosomal RNA", at positions 524 to 776 of the family's 1533-position model. The record is from RNAcentral.
UACGUAGGGUGCAAGCGUUGUCCGGAAUUAUUGGGCGUAAAGAGCUCGUAGGCGGUCUGUCGCGUCGGCUGUGAAAACUCGGGGCUCAACUCCGAGCCUGCAGUCGAUACGGGCAGACUAGAGUGCUGUAGGGGAGACUGGAAUUCCUGGUGUAGCGGUGAAAUGCGCAGAUAUCAGGAGGAACACCGAUGGCGGAAGGCAGGUCUCUGGGCCACUACUGACGCUGAGAAGCGAAAGCAUGGGGGAGCGAACAGG